CCCGCCGCCGGCUGUUUCUUCCUCCCCCUCUCUCCUUUUGACACUCUCUCUCUCUGUUGACCCUGAGCUGGACGCUCGUUCCUCUCCUCCUCACACCUGCGCCCGAGCGCCUCCUUCCCUCCGGCCACGCGCGCCGCUCAACCCCGACGGCCGCCGUUCCUCCCUCCUGGCCGCGCGCGCCUGUCCUAGCCUCUCCCUUCCCCUCCACUUGCGCGCGCCGCGACUGCACCUCGCCGCCGCCGGCCGUUCGCCCCGAGCGCCGACCUCCGCACGCGGCACGCUCCGCCUUUCCCUGCCACCUCCCGGCAGGCCACCUCGAGUCGCCACCAUGCCUAGCUCCACACCCUAUCGCCAGCCCCGCUUCAAUCUGCUCACGCUCGCUCCGUUUUGCCGUUCGCCUGCAGGUUGUUCGAUCAUAUGUCUGGCCGGCCUAUGCCAAUCCUUGGCCGCAGCAUCUGGCCGGCAGCAGUCUCACGCCCCGCUCCGUUUGGUCCCUCCCGGUAGCAAGGCCCUCUCCUUUCCCGAUUGAAGUCACUGGUCUCUGCUCGACGCGAUGCAUCCUGGACGCACCAGUUCCUCAGCGUCGCUGCCCCGCUCGUCAGUCAGCACUCAGCAGCAGCAAGAGCUGCUUCUUUUCCCAGCAGCAGUAGGGUGUUCCAAUCGCACGCCACCUUCUCGUUUUGGAAUCCAUAAUUUUGUUUCAGUGCGUCGGUGCCAAUGUUGUUCCUCAAAAGCUUGUGAACCGUGCAGGAGUAACAAUAAGUCUUGCAUUGAAUUUGUUCUUUGGCUCUUAUCUCUCGACAUCGGAUAGUAAGUGCUAUGAUAACCUUUUAUCGAUGCCUUGUAUAUUAGGAAUUCAGGAAGGCAAUCUGGAAACUCAAUUAACUUCUGUUAUUGUGUUGCUGACCUGGUAUUGGGUGGUCGGCGGUGUGGUGGAGCUCGGCGUUCUAGACUGGAAGUUGCUGUUCAUGGAGGACAUCCUCCCCGGAUUCCUCUUGGCGGCGCAGCGGGCGGCGCAGCGGGGGGCAUCGCUUUUGAAGGUCGGCACCAUUUCCAUUGAGUACCACUGUACCAUGGCAGUACGAUGAGAGGACGCAAACUGAAUGUAAAUCUGGUACCUUUAGUGGAUCACAGGCUAAGGGAGUUGAUUCGGUGCAGCACGUAUGUAUUUCUGGCGAAGCAAUCGAGAGUGUUUUUGAUGUAUUCGGUGCAGGGAAUCAAGUCCUUUUUAUGAUGCGGGUGGCUUUCCGUGUUUUGGCAUAGUUCCUAAUGGAAUAGGAGCAGAAUUUGGCAGAGUUCCUGUCGGAGUAGGAACAGAAUUUGGCAGAAUUCAAGUUAUUUGUUA
Lolium perenne is the source of this 1345-nucleotide long non-coding RNA. RefSeq lists it as uncharacterized. NCBI's taxonomy places the organism in Eukaryota, Viridiplantae, Streptophyta, Magnoliopsida, Poales, Poaceae. The record is from RefSeq and is a predicted model, not a curated record.